AGUGAACGCUGGCGGUAGGCCUAACACAUGCAAGUCGAACGGCAGCACAGUAAGAGCUUGCUCUUACGGGUGGCGAGUGGCGGACGGGUGAGGAAUACAUCGGAAUCUACUUUUUCGUGGGGGAUAACGUAGGGAAACUUACGCUAAUACCGCAUACGACCUACGGGUGAAAGCAGGGGAUCUUCGGACCUUGCGCGAUUGAAUGAGCCGAUGUCGGAUUAGCUAGUUGGCGGGGUAAAGGCCCACCAAGGCGACGAUCCGCAGCUGGUCUGAGAGGAGGAUCAGCCACACUGGAAGUGAGACACGGUCCAGACUCCUAAGGGAGGCAGCAGUGGGGAAUAUUGGACAAUGGGCGCAAGCCUGAUCCAGCCAUACCGCGUGGGUGAAGAAGGCCUUCGGGUUGUAAAGCCCUUUUGUUGGGAAAGAAAAGCAGCAGGUUAAUACCCCGCUGUUCUGACGGUACCCAAAGAAUAAGCACCGGCUAACUUCGUG
Molecule: ribosomal RNA, 492 nt
Filed under: uncultured bacterium
Lineage: Bacteria
Description: partial 16S ribosomal RNA
Rfam family: Bacterial small subunit ribosomal RNA
Source: RNAcentral